GCGGGAAUAGCUCAGUGGUAGAGCAUCGCCUUGCCAAGGCGGAGGUCGCGGGUUCAAAUCCCGUUUCCCGCUCCA
This 75-nucleotide transfer RNA is filed under the name Nitrospirota bacterium. RNAcentral's name for it is "tRNA-Gly". It matches the Rfam family "tRNA". Rfam says of the family: Transfer RNA (tRNA) molecules are approximately 80 nucleotides in length. The record is from RNAcentral. RNAcentral also lists the same sequence under 2 other names. Lineage: Bacteria; Pseudomonadati; Nitrospirota.